This 403-nucleotide ribosomal RNA is filed under the name uncultured bacterium. RNAcentral describes it as "partial 16S ribosomal RNA". It matches the Rfam family "Bacterial small subunit ribosomal RNA", at positions 30 to 526 of the family's 1533-position model. The record is from RNAcentral.
AUUGAACGCUGGCGGCAGGCCUAACACAUGCAAGUCGAGCGAGCGGCGGACGGGUGAGCAAUGUAUGGGGACUGCCCGAUAGAGGGGGAUAACUACUGGAAACGGUGGCUAAUACCGCAUACUAUCGGAUAACCCAUAUGGGAUUAGCUAGUAGGUGGGGUAAAGGCCCACCUAGGCGACGAUCUCUAGCUGGUCUGAGAGGGUGAUCAGCCACACUGAAACUGAGACACAGCCCAGACUCCUACAGAGACAUUAGUUGGGAAUAUUGCACAAUGGGCGCAAGCCUAAUGCAGCCGUGCCGCAUGUAUGAAGAAGGCCUUAGGAUUGUAAAGUACUUUCAGCGGGAAGGCGUUACCCGCAGAAGAAACACCGGCUAACUCCGUGCCAGCAGCCGCGGUAAUUC